UUUUUAGAAAAGUUCCCCAUCUUUUAGUACUCAUAUCGUGUGAGUGACAUGAUCUCAAGUUAAAAUCUCAGUCUAAUUCAUCUCUUUCUUAUGCUUCCAUAAUAUUCCUUCUACAGAAGCUAAUGAAAGAAGUAUUGAAAAUCAGUUAACACCUCACCCUAUUUCGGUAUAUCUCCUGGAUGAGCAUGUCUCUCAUACAGAAUUCAGAGCUGCUUUCACUAUGUUAGCCAAUUCAGUAGUUG
Molecule: long non-coding RNA, 242 nt
Filed under: Capsicum annuum
Lineage: Eukaryota; Viridiplantae; Streptophyta; Magnoliopsida; Solanales; Solanaceae
Description: long non-coding RNA (CANN_LNC008352)
Source: RNAcentral